AGGACCAGGAUGUACUGCUGCACUCCAAAACAGUUUCUUUCAUGCAUCCUACAUUCCAUCUAUUCUACUUCAACCCCAGCCUGGAUCACGAUUUUGUCUUCAACCUUCAAGGAAGCUUGAUGGAAUUCUGUCCUUCUCAGUGGGAAAGAAAGAAAUGCCUAUUAUUUUUUCCUUGUGAUUGGCCAUCCAGACCAAAGCUUUCAGCCUUGAAUAACCUUCUGAAUUAGGGAGAAGGUGUGUGUUGUAUCUGUCAUCCAUGAAGAUCUAUGAGGAUCUACUUGAUAAACUGGAGUGAGAGCUUGAGAAAAGCUGAAGCGAUCGUUUCCUGUUGUGAUUGGAAAGCUACUGUCAUCGAGAUAAAAGAGAUGGAGAAAUCUUUUUUUCUGAAAAAAGCUGUUUUCACCUUUAUCUUUUGAAGAGAAUUUUGAGAAGAAAUUUUAUUUGAGAAGUAUGGAAAAAACUAAAUAGCAGAAGACUGAGUUUUCAUAAGUAAAGAGAAUUCUACGGGCUGAGUUAAGGUGAUUCUAUGACAUUCAUUGCUAAAAUAUUGUAAAUAAUUAUAUGUGUAUUUAUGUUUAUGUAUCAUGGAUGAGGCAGGGGUGUGGCAUCCAUUCCCACCGUUUUUUCUGGGCUGGCUCACUCCCCUCAAUUUGCAUACAUGGGGGCAAGUUUUGGGGAUUUUUUUUUUAAUGGGAGAGUUCCACAAGAGGAAGGUUGCCCCACAGAUACGACGUACUCUUAAGAGUCUUAGGGGUAAACCCGGUGUAGAAGAAUACACUUCUACUGCUUGAUCCAGAGCUCCCACCAUCCAUUUGCAUAAAUCAGUCACCAGGACAUCAUUAAUACAUGAAACUUUACUAACCAAGAAGGCAAAAAGAAGGAAUAAAAAGGAGAGAUAAUCAAAACAUAAUUUUACUCCAUAAAUUUGUGUCACUCUCUUGUCAAUAAACACCACGUCAUUGAGGGAAGGGUAUACACGAACAUACAGAAACUGAUUGGUGAGGCAGAUGAGUAGGGAUAUUUAUGCGCCCAGAACAGCUCAUGGCUCUGACUGCCGCUCGUCCUUGAUGAUUUAGGGGAAUGAUUUGCAACAACAUCACCUGCUGGGCUCUUCCUCUGGGCCUCUCCACCCCUCCUGCUGGACAAAGCUGCUUCUCUGCAGCUCCUCUCAGACAAAAGAAACUGUUUCAGUAAGAUAGCAUUAUGCUCCUUCAGUGGCAAGCGUUUCCUCCAACAAAUCAGCU
Phascolarctos cinereus (koala) is the source of this 1244-nucleotide non-coding RNA. The record is from RefSeq and is a predicted model, not a curated record. NCBI's taxonomy places the organism in Eukaryota, Metazoa, Chordata, Mammalia, Diprotodontia, Phascolarctidae.